UUGAACGCUGGCGGAAUGCUUUACACAUGCAAGUCGAGCGGCAGCGCGGGGGCAACCCUGGCGGCGAGCGGCGAACGGGUGAGUAAUACAUCGGAACGUACCCAGUUGUGGGGGAUAGCCCGGCGAAAGCCGGAUUAAUACCGCAUAAGUCCUGAGGGAGAAAGCGGGGGACCGUAAGGCCUCGCGCGAUUGGAGCGGCCGGUGUUCGAUUAGCUAGUUGGUGGGGUAAAGGCCUACCAAGGCGACGAUCGAUAGCUGGUCUGAGAGGACGACCAGCCACACUGGAACUGAGACACGGUCCAGACUCCUACGGGAGGCAGCAGUGGGGAAUUUUGGACAAUGGGGGCAACCCUGAUCCAGCCAUUCCGCGUGAGUGAAGAAGGCCUUCGGGUUGUAAACCGCUUUUGUCAGGGAAGAAAUCCUUUGAGCUAAUACCUCAGAGGGAUGACGGUACCUGAAGAAUAAGCACCGGCUAACUACGU
Molecule: ribosomal RNA, 482 nt
Filed under: uncultured bacterium
Lineage: Bacteria
Description: bacterial SSU rRNA
Rfam family: Bacterial small subunit ribosomal RNA
Source: RNAcentral